This is a long non-coding RNA of Phyllopteryx taeniolatus (common seadragon), 283 nucleotides long. RefSeq lists it as uncharacterized. Lineage: Eukaryota; Metazoa; Chordata; Actinopteri; Syngnathiformes; Syngnathidae. The transcript has 3 exons. The record is from RefSeq and is a predicted model, not a curated record.
CUCGCUCUACCGAAGGCACCCAGUAUGAAGCCGCGUUGUAAGGACCCCGAGACAAGCUCCUGACGUCCUUGUUUGUUAACAGUCGCUUGGCCAGAGUUGACAACUCCACUCACUAGCCACUUCAAUCAAGACUGAGCAUUACCUUUGCCAUGCCUCCACCUUUCCAACUGUUCCUUCACCUGCUUUCACUGGAGAUCACAAUGUCAUCUGCGAACACCAUGAUCCACAGGGAUUCCAGUCUAACCUCAUCUGUCAGCCUAUCCAUUCAAACGACAAAUCCAGA